RNAcentral lists this ribosomal RNA (467 nucleotides) under uncultured bacterium. RNAcentral's name for it is "partial 16S ribosomal RNA". It matches the Rfam family "Bacterial small subunit ribosomal RNA", at positions 28 to 506 of the family's 1533-position model. The record is from RNAcentral.
GACGAACGCUGGCGGCGUGCUUAACACAUGCAAGUCGAACGGAAAGGCCCUGCUUUUGUGGGGUGCUCGAGUGGCGAACGGGUGAGUAACACGUGAGUAACCUGCCCUUGACUUUGGGAUAACUUCAGGAAACUGGGGCUAAUACCGGAUAGGAGCUCCUGCUGCAUGGUGGGGGUUGGAAAGUUUCGGCGGUUGGGGAUGGACUCGCGGCUUAUCAGCUUGUUGGUGGGGUAGUGGCUUACCAAGGCUUUGACGGGUAGCCGGCCUGAGAGGGUGACCGGCCACAUUGGGACUGAGAUACGGCCCAGAUUCCUACGGGAGGCAGAAGUGGGGAAUAUGGCCCAAUGGGCGGAAGCCUGAUGCAGCAACGCCGCGUGCGGGAGGACGGCCUUCGGGUGGUAAACCGCUUUCGCCGGUGACGAAGCGUGAGUGACGGUAAUGGGGAAAGAAGCACCGGCUAACUACGU